GUUUGCUCCCUGCAUUUCAUAACCAUGUAGCAAGUCCGGAAAAAAAACAACUGGUGCUUCGUACGUCACACAGGCCUUUCACCUUGACGUCGGCGCUAGGCUCUGCCUCCUCCCCGCCACUCAUGUUCUUCGCAGGAGUUCCUCCCCGCCGCUCCCGGUCAUCGUAGGAUCUCUUCCUAGCCGCCGCAGGAACCGGAUUCAGAUAUGGAAGGGGAUGGUUGUUAUUUUACCAAUCUUGUGAAUUGAGGAUUUGAACCUUUUGAAGACAUCUCUCAAUCACCAGUUCACUUGCAACAGCCAAUCUGUACAAAGGAUAAGAACACCUCAUCCAAGCCAACCCUAAAGCACAUAGGUAAAAAUUUCAGUGAAGAAGAAGAUAGACACAAGGGACUAAUCAAACAAGAGGCACGUUUUGGAAAAGAAUAUAUUUGUUCUCUGAGGCGAAUAGAGAAAAUUGUCCCAAACGUACUGAAAAUUCUUUGCUGCAUCGUUGGAGUUGUAUCCAAGAUGCUGUAAGUUAUGUGGAUGUUGCAAUAGUAUUGAGACUAGAAAUCAAAGCGGUUUGGCUGUUCAUGAUAGGGUGGAGCAAGCUGAGAAGCUUUUUAAAGAACAAGAUCCCCACAACAAGUCUUUUCAAUUCAAGCAUUGCUGGCUGUUGUUGAGGAACCAACCAAAAUGGCAUGACAAGCUAAAUCAAUUAGUUACCACAAAAAACUAGUAACAAGAAGCAGAAAACAACCAGAAAAAUCAAGUCUAGGCCUUGUUGACCUAUCAAUGAAGGAGGUUAAUGAUGCUGCUCCUAAUGCAAUUGAGAUUCCAGAGAUAGAACCAUCACAAAGACCUUUGGGUAAGAAGAAGGCAAAAGAGGCGGCACGUCAGGGUGGCAAUGAUGCUUGCAAAGAAGCAUUGAAGUUUCUGUAGGCAAAAAAGAUUGAGGAUGAUGCAGAGAAGGAGAUGAAGAGAGAAGAAAGACAUGCAAAGUCAUUUGCUCUGGACAAAGAGAUGCUUGAACUAGAAAAGGAGAGGAUUGCGCUAAAGAAGGAGAAGGUUGCCAACGAGGCAAACAAUAAUUUCUUGAAGAGGAUUGCAGAAGAAGAUAGAAUAAUGACCAUUGAUCUCAGUGCCAUGAAUGAGAUGCAGCAGCAAUAUUACCUGAGCAUUCAAGCUGAGAUUAUGGCUCGUCGCAUGAAUUAGAUCAUAGCUCACUGCUAGCCUUGUUCUUAAUUUAGUUUCUAGAGGCAUUCUAUUGUACGAACUAUUGUCAUUGUUAAUUUUAAUUGCAUGAACUAUGUGUCUUGAGUUAUCAGCAUUGUAAGAACUAUUUCGGUUGUGAUGUUAAUUUAAAGAAUAUUAAGUUCCUAAUUC
Molecule: long non-coding RNA, 1365 nt
Organism: Zea mays
Lineage: Eukaryota; Viridiplantae; Streptophyta; Magnoliopsida; Poales; Poaceae
Exons: 3
Source: RefSeq, a predicted model, not a curated record